GAGUUUGAUCAUGGCUCAGGAUGAACGUUGGCGGCGUGCCUAAUACAUGCAAGUCGAACGAGAACCCUUUUCGAAGGGUGAAAGUGGCGAACGGGUGAGUAACACAUGGCUGACCUGCCCCUCAGUGGGGAAUAACUACUGGAAACGGUAGCUAAUACCCCGUAUGCUCCCGGCGGUUAGAGGCGCUGAGAGGAAAGAUUAAUCGCUGAGGGAGGGGGCUGUGGCCCAUCAGCUGGUUGGUGAGGUAACGGCUCACCAAGGCGAUGACGGGUAGGGGGCCUGAGAGGGUGACCCCCCACACUGGCACUGAGACACGGGCCAGACUCCUACGGGAGGCAGCAGUAAGGGAUAUUGCACAAUAGGCGAAAGCCAGAUGCAGCAACGCCGCGUGCGGGAUGACGGCCUUCGGGUUGUAAACCGCUUUUCCAGGGGAAGAGGAAGGACGGUACCCUAGGAAUAAGUCUCGGCUAACUACGUGCCAGCAGCCGCGGUAAGACGUAGGAGGCGAACGUUAUCCGGAUUUACUGGGUGUAAAGCGCGUGCAGGCGGCGUGAACAGUCGUGCGUGAAAGCUCUCGGCUUAACCGGGAGAGGCCGUGCGAUACUAUCAGGCUGGAGGCAGGCAGAGGCGUGUGGAAUUCCGGGUGUAGUAGUGAAAUGCGUAGAGAUCCGGAGGAACACCAGUGGCGAAGGCGACACGCUGGGCCUGACCUGACGCUAAGACGCGACAGCAUGGGGAGCGAACGGGAUUAGAAACCCCGGUAGUCCAUGCCGUAAACGAUGUCGACUAGGUGUGGUCUCGCAAGAGGCUGUGCCGGAGCUAACGCGGUAAGUCGACCACCUGGGGACUACGGCCGCAAGGUUAAAACUCAAAGGAAUUGACGGGGGCCCGCACAAGCAGCGGAGCGUGUGGUUUAAUUCGAGGCUACACGAAGAACCUUACCUGGGCUUGACAUGGCGGUGGUAGGGAACCGAAAGGGGACCGACCUUCGGGAGCCGUCACAGGUGCUGCAUGGCUGUCGUCAGCUCGUGUCGUGAGAUGUCCGGUUAAGUCCGGUAACGAGCGCAACCCUCGCCGUCAGUUACAGGUGUCUGACGGGACUGCCCGUUGAACGCGGGAGGAAGGCGGGGAUGACGUCAAGUCAGCAUGGCCUUUAUGUCCAGGGCUACACACACGCUACAAUGGCCAGCACAAAGGGUCGCCAACCCGCGAGGGGGAGCCAAUCCAAAAAAGCUGGUCUCAGUUCGGAUUGCAGGCUGCAACUCGCCUGCAUGAAGUCGGAGUUGCUAGUAACCGCAGGUCAGCUAUACUGCGGUGAAUACGUUCCCGGGCCUUGUACACACCGCCCGUCACGUCAUGGGAGCUGGUCAUGCCUGAAGUCGGUGGGCUAACCGCAAGGAGGCAGCCGCCGAAGGCAGGGCUGGUGACUGGGACGAAGUCGUAACAAGGUAACCGUA
RNAcentral lists this ribosomal RNA (1457 nucleotides) under uncultured Chloroflexota bacterium. RNAcentral describes it as "bacterial SSU rRNA". It matches the Rfam family "Bacterial small subunit ribosomal RNA". The record is from RNAcentral. Lineage: Bacteria; Bacillati; Chloroflexota.